This 292-nucleotide ribosomal RNA is filed under the name uncultured bacterium. RNAcentral's name for it is "partial 16S ribosomal RNA". It matches the Rfam family "Bacterial small subunit ribosomal RNA", at positions 505 to 796 of the family's 1533-position model. The record is from RNAcentral.
GUGCCAGCCGCCGCGGUAAUACGGAGGGUGCAAGCGUUAAUCGGAAUUACUGGGCGUAAAGCGUACGUAGGCGGCUUGUUAAGCAAGAUGUGAAAGCCCCGGGCUCAACCUGGGAAUGGCAUUUUGAACUGGCAGGCUCGAGUUCUGAAGAGGGUGGUAGAAUUUCCAGUGUAGCGGUGAAAUGCGUAGAUAUUGGAAGGAAUACCAGUGGCGAAGGCGGCCACCUGGUCAGAAACUGACGCUGAGGUACGAAAGCGUGGGGAGCAAACAGGAUUAGAAACCCUGGUAGUCC